UACAGAGAGUGCAAGCGUUAAUCGGAAUCACUGGGCGUAAAGCGCGCGUAGGUGGAUAUUUAAGUCGAAUGUGUAAUCCCCGGGCUUAACCUGGGAACUGCAUCCGAUACUGGAUGUCUUGAGUAUGGUAGAGGGAAGUGGAAUUUCUGGUGUAGCGGUGAAAUGCGUAGAUAUCAGAAAGAACAUCAGUGGCGAAGGCGGCUUCCUGGACCAAUACUGACACUGAGGCGCGAAAGCGUGGGGAGCAAACAGG
This 253-nucleotide ribosomal RNA is filed under the name uncultured bacterium. RNAcentral describes it as "partial 16S ribosomal RNA". It matches the Rfam family "Bacterial small subunit ribosomal RNA", at positions 524 to 776 of the family's 1533-position model. The record is from RNAcentral.